CCUACGGGAGGCAGCAGUGAGGAAUAUUGGUCAAUGGACGAGAGUCUGAACCAGCCAAGUAGCGUGCAGGACGACGGCCCUCUGGGUUGUAAACUGCUUUUAGUUGGGAAUAAAAAGAGGGACGUGUCCCUAAUUGUAUGUACCAUCAGAAAAAGGACCGGCUAAUUCCGUGCCAGCAGCCGCGGUAAUA
Molecule: ribosomal RNA, 190 nt
Filed under: uncultured bacterium
Lineage: Bacteria
Description: partial 16S ribosomal RNA
Rfam family: Bacterial small subunit ribosomal RNA
Source: RNAcentral